Molecule: long non-coding RNA, 230 nt
Filed under: Solanum tuberosum (potato)
Lineage: Eukaryota; Viridiplantae; Streptophyta; Magnoliopsida; Solanales; Solanaceae
Description: long non-coding RNA (STUB_LNC005748)
Source: RNAcentral
GUGCUGCCAUAGUGGAUAACAUGUUUUCAUGAAAGUAGACAGUAUUAACAAGCCAAAAGAAAGUGCACAUGACUUGGCCGUUGGGACCAUGAUGUCUAAGACACGAGGCACAACCACACUUCACUAUACAUAGUCUACAAAGCCUCUAAAUGAUGAAACAUUAUGGGGUUAAGGUCGGGACAGGCCCCGCCUUACACUCAGCUACUAUACAAUACCAAAAUACAUGUUAU